Solanum lycopersicum (tomato) is the source of this 575-nucleotide long non-coding RNA. RefSeq lists it as uncharacterized. The record is from RefSeq and is a predicted model, not a curated record. NCBI's taxonomy places the organism in Eukaryota, Viridiplantae, Streptophyta, Magnoliopsida, Solanales, Solanaceae.
UUAAGAUGUUGCGUAUCUUUAACUUUCUAUUCCAUGCUUCAUAUAUGUAUUUGAUUCCCAAAGAUUUGUACAAUCUUUGUGAGCAAUAUCGGAAGAAGCUUAUUAUUUUCUAGUUGAAGGUGUGCCCCUACUGCUCCUCAAAUUUGUUCAGCUUGUUUAUUUGUGGGUGCAGUGCAGUAUUUUUCAUAUGCAUGUUUAUUUGUGGGUGCACUUUAUUUCUAAGACCUUGUAAGUUUCUCGAAAUUAUUAACAGCAACCAGUCACCUGGCGCCUAUUCAGCAGGACUUGGAUUGGCAUUCUUUAGUAUCAACGACUUUUACAAGUAAAGAAAAUGAAUAGCAUACCAGCUCAUAGUUGCAUAAGAAGUGGGCUAACAACCUUUAUCAAGGAGUUAUGCUUCCAUUACCCGUUCCUCUAAAGCCAGCUGAUGUUGGUGACAAUAAUUGUAGUGAAACUAGUUGAAGUUCCAUAAACCGAUCCUAUCUUGAGUUUGGGUGAUAUUUAUUUGAAGUUUAAGCAAGUUUUGUAGUGAUUUGAAGUUAAAGCAAAUUUUUAUAGUGAUAUGAAGUUUCUUG